Molecule: ribosomal RNA, 292 nt
Filed under: uncultured Bacteroidota bacterium
Lineage: Bacteria; Pseudomonadati; Bacteroidota
Description: uncultured Bacteroidetes bacterium partial 16S ribosomal RNA
Source: RNAcentral
GGACUACUAGGGUUUCUAAUCCUGUUUGAUCCCCACGCUUUCGUGCCUGAGUGUCAAUAUUCGUGUAGCCAGCUGCCUUCGCAAUUGGUAUUCUAUGUCAUAUCUAAGCAUUUCACCGCUACAUGACAUAUUCUACUGACCUCCACGGUAUUCAAGACUGAUAGUAUCAAUGGCAGUUUCCGAGUUAAGCUCGGAGAUUUCACCACUGACUUACCAACCCACCUACGCACCCUUUAAACCCAGUGAAUCCGGAUAACGCUUGCACCCUCCGUAUUACCGCGGCUGCUGGCAC